This is a small nucleolar RNA of Solea solea (common sole), 71 nucleotides long. The record is from RefSeq and is a predicted model, not a curated record. NCBI's taxonomy places the organism in Eukaryota, Metazoa, Chordata, Actinopteri, Pleuronectiformes, Soleidae.
UUGAAAAGUGAUGUGUGUUUUUACCGCCCCAGUCUGAGAAUUCAUGACUGAUUGGUAUACGAUCUGAUUUA